CCCUAGAACUUAAAGUAUAAUAAAUAUAUAUAUAUUAAAAAAAAAAAAAAAAAGAAAGCUCCAGCAGCAACAAGGUGCAGACACUGGACGAGAAACAGGAGUGAGAAACAAUGAUGGAGAAACAGAGGGAAGAAGAGACUUGGAAUCACUCUGUCCUGGCUGUGGGUCUAUGAAAAAGAAUGUGGCCUACUGCUAAAUACAUUGAUUUUGAAGCUAGAUAGCUCUGGUUUUGGGGAGCAAGUGAUUUGAUCUCUCAGAGACUCAGCUACUUCAUCAGUAAACAGAGAUUACCAUAUCCACCAGUAAUGGCUAUAGGAGCAGUAAUAGGGAUGAUAUAGGUGAAAGCACUGAUCACUGAAUGAUUCCAAAGACAGGUGCAGAGAGGUUCAGGCAUCAGACAGGCUACCUGGAUCCAAAUCCCAGCUCCAUCAUUUACUACUUUCAUGGCCUUUACAAACCACUAAACUUCUCUCUGAGCUUCAAUUUUCCCAUCUGUAACAUGGGAACUAAUAAAAUGAAACCUUCCUAAUAAAGUUGCCAGGAAGAUUCAUUGAGACAUUGAAUGUAAAGUAUUUAACUCAAUAUAGAGCACAGGGGAGCACCAAAUAAAAUUCAGGUGUUACAUUUUUAAGCACGUGUUCACCAAGGCUCCCAAUUCAGGUGGUGAGGAUUCUAUGAUGAUCAAUUCCUCCUAAGGUAUUUGUAAAAUGACCCACCAGAUUACCAACCAUUCCUGUAUUUCCAGAACCCUUUGGAGUCCUUUAUGUAACCUGGGAGAGCUGUUAUUCUUUUUUCUUUUUGGUAGAAGUGAAAUCCUGCAGGAAAACUUGCUCCAUUUUGGUUAUUUCUGUUAUAUCACAAGGUGGGCUGGAUAGCAAGUUUUGGAAGCACUGAACACCCACACGGAGCUGGCUCCUCUCAGGCGGGGAGGCAUCUUCACUAAGGAGAGGUGCAGUCUGUGUCCCCGUCCUUGACUCUGAGAAUCCCUGUGAUCAACAGAAUGCAGAAAAGUGACACUGCAUGGCUUCUGAGGCUAGGUCCAGAAAAGGUGAUGCAGCUUCCCCCUUUGCGCUGAAAUGCAGUGCUUGGACCUCAGAGCUAUUGACUAAGAAGUCCAUGCACCCUGAGCUUCUCAUGCUGGGGAAGCCACGUGUAGGCAUUCAGUUCCCAGCCCAGCUGAGCUCCAUCCUGGCUGCAACAAUUGUUCUCAUGAGGAAGCCAUCUUGGACACUCAGCUCCAUGGAGCCUCCACGAGUCGCCAGCCCCAACUGACAUCUGUCUCACUGCAACCACAGAAGAGCCUCCAACCAAGAACUGCACAGCUGAACCCUUUCUAAAUUCUUGAUCUCCAAAAAGCCAUGCACAAAAUAAAAUGGUUGUUUUGAGCCACUAAACUCUGGAACCUCGAGUAGGGGAGAAGUUCCUUUGGGUAGGUGUCAUUUUCCUAGGCUACCAUUCAUUUUCUCUUAUUUUGGUGAUAGCAGUCUGAUUUAUGUGUGUGGGUGGGUCGGGGGUAACCCUGAUCUUAAGUCAUGUAGUUCAGGUGCCUCCUGGAUGUGCCUGCCUAACCAUCAUAUCCCCACUACGGUACGGUGUUUGUAAAGAGUUGAGCAAAUAAUCCAGGACAGACCACUGAGAUUCUGCCUUGUGACUUUUGUUAAAAUUAGUGAGAAAAAGUCACUCUCGGGGCAGGCUGGAGUAAAGAGGGAUUGCUAAAUAGAUGCUAGGUAGGCCUGAAACUGCUGGGGGCCAAUUUAUUAUGAAGCAGGAAGAACCUAAUAAGGAAUAAAGUUACUCUGGAGGAAAGCCAAGCAAAGGAGGGUGAGAGACAGCUUCCUGAUGAGACUAAGCUUUGGACCCAGUUUUGCCUGGAACUUCGGCAGGCUGUUUUAGUUUCGUAAGUUAAUACGUACUCCUUUUUGAUUAAGCUAUUUCAGAGGUGUCACUUGCAUCUGAAAGAUUCCUAAUACAGACAGGUAAGAUCAGGUCAUGGAGGGCUUUGUGCCCUGUGAUGGUAAAGUUUUACUUUAUUCUGUAAAGAAUGAGAACUAUAUUUUAAUCAGGAGCAGGAUGAUGAGAUGUACACUUUAGCAAGACACCUGAAUGCACUGAGAAGGGAUAUUUUGGUGUUAGGAACAGGGAAAUGGACUAGGAGUAUAUAGUGUUAGUUUAGGACAUUAUGAUGCCAACUAAUAUAGCUGGUGGGAUUGGAUAUGCAAUUUGAGAAAUAUUUAAAUCAUGGAAUCAACACAAUUCAGACAGGUUGGGUGGUGUUGGGAUAAGGAAGAGAGAAGAAGCAAGGAUGACUUUUAGAUGGAUGGCUUAUAUACAAGCUGGACUAUGUAUCACUAAAGAGAAUAUUAGCUCCAGUUUAUGUCUGAUGACUCAGAAGUUAAACAACCUGCCCAAGGUUGUGUACCUAGUAAGAGCAGAACCAAUCAGGUCUUUAGGCUCCAAGACUUUCAUUCUUUGAAUUGUAUCAGGCCACUCACUGUGUUGAGGCCGCCAUGUGCACUGCAUUCCCAAGAAAUCAUAGCACAUGGGGCUGCUUGUUGUUCAGCACAUCAGGAGGAAGGCAAAAUUAUUAAUGCUUUCUUUUGGUCUCCUUGCUGUGUCUGACUUGCUACCAAACAAAACCUCUGCAGCAGGGCAUUUGUACUAUUCAGGUUUUCUUGGCUGACUUAUCAGCAUUUGUGAAAAGUACAGACGAUUUUGUUCCAGCCUUUCUGCAUUCUGACUUCAGAAGCUGAUUACAGAUGCAGAAACAUGAAGGGAGGUGAAAUCUAUUUCCCAAGAUGGACUAUGGAUUGGUUCUAAAGAUCAAAAGGGUGUGGCUUUUCAAUACAAACAACAAAGUCUGGGAGUUUUUGCACAGUGGAAGAGAAAGGCAAGUAGUAAGGGUGGCAAAGUGCUCAUUAGGAAGAAAAGUUAACAGGAAAACUUGGUUUAAAUCAAGGCAAGUAUGAAGAGAAGGUUAUCAACUUUAUGAAAAAGAGGACCAGAGAAGGCGAAGUGGCAAGCUGAGUGGCGAAUGCUGCUUAUCAUAUAUCCAGUUAAAAUUUCUUGGUCUCAUUCUUCACCAUUGUUAAAAUACUUUAACAUAUUUUAUAUACACUUAAAUAUCUGCUCCUUUCUAGUAAUAUAUUUUAUGUCUUUUACCAUCUUUGAGCCACAAUGAUCUCAACUGUGAAAUGGGAGCAGUAACAAAUUGCACCAUAAGAUUGUUGUGUUAAAUAAUGGCAUGAAUGUGCUUAGCCUGUUGCUUGUCACAUGGAAUCUGCACAGUUAAUGCUCAUAGCCUGUAACUCUUCCCAUCCUCUUCAGCAAGCUUUUAUUUAAUGACGCAGUUACGAAUGAGAAACUCCUGCAAGAAUGAUCAGUGUGCAUUGGAUAGAUGUUAAUUAGGUAGGACAGCCAGCAUUAUGUUCAUUUGAAGGGGAAAAAAACUGAGGUUUUCAGAGGUUAAGUAGCUUGCUGCAAAGUGCUUAGCUAUCAACAAAUAGGAGGUGGUUUUCUCCAGAGGGCCCCAGGUGAGAUGCACAGGUGUUACCCAGUGCAGACUUUUGGUCACCUUCACUUAACAUGGUGAUUGUUAUCAGAUGAGAAAGAAGACACCCUGGAAUUGAGAAAGUGCCAUACAAGAUGAGGCCAUUGCAAAGAGGAAAAAAGAGGCCCUGUGUGAGGCUAGGAAGACAGCACAACAAUGAGCCCAUGGCUUGCCAGGAAAGGAUCAGAAAUGGGAGGAGUGUUGUAGGCUAGUGGGACAUUCUCAAGCUUCAGAUCAGGUGAUUCUGUGCCCAAAUUAUCACUCCUCCAUGUAUUAUCUGUGUGACUUUGAACAAGGUUGUGUAACCUUUCUAAGCCUGUUUCUUCUUUUUUUUUGAUUUUUUUUUUUUGAGAUGAAGUCUCACUCUGUUGCCCAGGCUAGAGUGCAAUGGUGCGUAAUCUCGGCUCACUGCAACCUCUGCCUCCCAGGUUCAAGCAAUUCUCCUGCCUCAGCCUCCCUAGUAGCUGGGAUUACAGGCGAGCACCACCAUGCUCGACUAACUUUUGUAUUUUUAGUAGAGAUGGGUUUCACCAUGUUGGCCAGGGUGGUCUGGAACUCCUGACCUUGUGAUCCACCCGCCUCAACCUCCCAAAUUGCUGGGAUGGAUUACAGGCAUGAGUGGCCGUACCCAGCCUUGUUUCUUCAGUUCUAAAAUGGAUAUAAUAAUGUCUUAUUUAAUUAUCACUGUUAGUAUACAUUGACAUGUCUUGUAAAGUACCCAUCCAGUCCAAUUCCUUAGGAAAUGCUUAAUAAGUAAUAAUAAUUAUGAGCCUAAUUAUUGUUUUUAUUUUGGAGCAAGCCUUAGCUGAACAUUUUCCCUGUGGAAAAAGAUUGUUUGAAUGGGCAUUAACCAAUCUGGAGGGAUUUAUAACAUUUCAAAAAGACUGUUAUAAAACUAGGGAUAGUUUGCCAGAACUGAAAAUCAAUGCAUUUAAUGUUCAGCUGUUUUGAAUGAGGAGGUAGUGCAGGUAACAGACUCUUGGCAGCCCAUCCCCAUUCCUGUUUCAGUCCUGAACCCAGGCAUGGGCUUAAUGUGAGAGAUAGAAAUAGGGCAAUCGAUGACUGAGAUUCAGAAAUGGGGCAGAGCCGGAAAUGUCUGUUGUAAAUUAAUUAAUUUUAAAAAGUCAAUUAGUGAAGAUGUGUUUUUACAUUUUGAAGCCACUACUUCCCGACUUGUCUGGAAAGCCUGAGAUUAAGAAUCACACUUUGGAGGUAAGGGAAUACACUAGUCUGUUCUUGCCCUGCUAUAAAGAACUACCUGAGACUGGGUGAUUUAUAAAGAACAGAGGUUUAAUUGGCUCCUGGUUCCACAGGCUCUCUAGGAAGCGUGGUUGAGGAGGCUUCAGGAAACUUGCAAUCAUGCAGGCACACAUUGCAUGGCUAGAACAGGAGGAAGAGAGUGAAGGGGGAGGUGCUAUACACUUUCAAACAACCAGACCUCGUGAGAACUCACUAUUAUGAUAACAGCAAGGGAGGAAUUCACCCCCAAGAUCCAAUCACCUCCCACCAGGCCCCUCUUCCAACUUUGGGGAUUACAAUUUGACAUGAGACUUGAGUAGGGUCACAAAUCCAAACCAUAUCAUGGGACAAGUGAUUGAAGACUCAUCAUUCUGUUCUGAAUGAAUUUUAUGACCAACUUGCUGUGUAGAGGGAGACAUUUGCCAAAUUUCAUUCAUAAUGGGUUCUGCAUACAGAACAGCUCGGAUUCCAGUUAGCCAUUAUUAUUGUAUGAACUUGCAUGAGUCACUUAAAUAAUUUGUGACCCAAUGUACUCAUCUGUAAAAUGGAGAUGCUAAUGGUAACUUGUUUGUAGCCUUUUGUGAUGAUUAAAUAAGAUUACUUUGUAAA
RNAcentral lists this long non-coding RNA (5395 nucleotides) under Homo sapiens (human). RNAcentral describes it as "HSALNT0330073". Lineage: Eukaryota; Metazoa; Chordata; Mammalia; Primates; Hominidae. The record is from RNAcentral.